This 433-nucleotide ribosomal RNA is filed under the name uncultured bacterium. Its description in RNAcentral is "partial 16S ribosomal RNA". It matches the Rfam family "Bacterial small subunit ribosomal RNA", at positions 29 to 507 of the family's 1533-position model. The record is from RNAcentral.
AACGAACGCUGGCGGCAUGCCUAACACAUGCAAGUCGAACGAACCCUUCGGGGUUAGUGGCGCACGGGUGCGUAACGCGUGGGAAUCUGCCCUUUGCUUCGGAAUAACUCAGGGAAACUUGUGCUAAUACCGGAUGAUGUCUUCGGACCAAAGAUUUAUCGGCAAGGGAUGAGCCCGCGUAGGAUUAGGUAGUUGGUGGGGUAAAGGCCUACCAAGCCGACGAUCCUUAGCUGGUCUGAGAGGAUGAUCAGCCACACUGGGACUGAGACACGGCCCAGACUACUACGGGAGGAAGCAGUGGGGAAUAUUGGACAAUGGGCGCAAGCCUGAUCAAGCAAUGCCGCGUGAGUGAUGAAGGCCCUCGGGUCGUAAAGCUCUUUUACCAGGGAUGAUAAUGACAGUACCUGGAGAAUAAGCUCCGGCUAACUCCGUG